This 369-nucleotide ribosomal RNA is filed under the name uncultured bacterium. RNAcentral describes it as "bacterial SSU rRNA". It matches the Rfam family "Bacterial small subunit ribosomal RNA", at positions 28 to 402 of the family's 1533-position model. The record is from RNAcentral.
GACGAACGCUGGCGGCGUGCUUAACACAUGCAAGUCGAACGGUAAGGCCCUUCGGGGUACACGAGUGGCGAACGGGUGAGUAACACGUGGGUGACCUGCCUCGAGCUCUGGGAUAAGCCUGGGAAACUGGGUCUAAUACCGGAUAUGACCUCAUGUCGCAUGGUGUGGGGGUGAAAGUUUUUCGGCUCGAGAUGGGCCCGCGGCCUAUCAGCUUGUUGGUGGGGUGAUGGCCUACCAAGGCGACGACGGGUAGCCGGCCUGAGAGGGCGACCGGCCACACUGGGACUGAGAUACGGCCCAGACUCCUACGGGAGGCAGCAGUGGGGAAUAUUGCGCAAUGGGCGGAAGCCUGACGCAGCGACGCCGCGU